This 3184-nucleotide long non-coding RNA is filed under the name Olea europaea subsp. europaea. The record is from RNAcentral. Lineage: Eukaryota; Viridiplantae; Streptophyta; Magnoliopsida; Lamiales; Oleaceae.
CAGAAAAGUAAAAUUCAGAGAAAAACCCUCCGAAAUUUUCCACCAAAAUUCGGAGAAAAAUCGCCGGACUGAGUGUGGGAUUGAAGGUAAGAACUUGUUUUCCACCAAAAUAAAUUAUGUCCACAUGCUUCCUUCGUUAACCCGAGCUUGAAACCUUCCGAUUCACCUAAGACUUUCGGCUGAAGGAGACCGCGACCAUGCAAUCAAACUAGUUUCUUCCGACGGGGAUUUAGCUACUUCACUUGUGAAAGGUAAUUAUUUUGAUGAGGAACAUUACCCAUUUCGACGCAAAAUGCUGCAGAUUUUCACUUUAGAUGUUUAACGUAAUUAUUCUCAUUGUAAUUAUUUGACAUUUUGUGGAAGAAAAAUUAGAAAAUCUCUUCUUUUAUCCUUUUAUCCUUUUAUGAUGUUAAAUUCAUUCAGGGUUGGGUUUGUGUUUGUGUUCGAAUAAUUAUUAUUAUUAUUUUAUUUUUUAAAUUAGUGUCCAUUAAGAUCAUACUGUCUAAAAUGUGUAUAGAAUCUGGAAACAACUUGGUGGCAUAUGGAUGGACAGAAUGAUGGAGAAAGGUAAUGUCAUUGUAAUUUUUCGAAGUUGCACUAUUUCGAAACCUAUGUAUUUUCACUGCUCGGGCAAAUUUCUUAUUUCAUUUCUAAUAUUAUUGAAGCAAGAUUUCCAUGAACAUUUGAACAAUACUCAAAAUUAAUAUUGUCAUUUAAUAUGAUGCAGGAAAAGAGGUUGUGGAAGUAUUGGACAAUGAAGUUUUAGUAGAAUCCAAUAAUAACAACAAUACGGAGAAUGUCGUCAAUAAUACAAACAAUGUUGUCACAUUAGACGAUGAUAUCAUAGGAGGAGAUGGCGUGAUUGUGCCAAAUUGGUAUGGAGUUCAAAGAUGAGAAAGAGGUGUAUGAGUUUUAUAAGAGGUAUGCGUAUCACGUAGGUUUUCCGGUUAGGAGGAAGAAUUCUAGAAAGGGAGAAGAUGGAGUAGUGAAUUACGUUACGUUGACAUGUUGUCGUGAGGGCUGGAGAAGUAGUAAUGCAGGUGCUUCUUUGAAGCCGCAUCCAACAAUUCAGACAGGUUGCAAAGAAAGACUUACUGCUACUUCGAUAUUCGUCGAAUUUGGAAAAUUCGCACAAUUGAUCUCAAACACAAUCAUAAAACUAGUCCUUCAAAAUCCAGAUUGUAUCGUUGCAAUCGAGAAUUGAGUGCAAAUGUCAAACGCAAGCUCGAAGUGAACGAUAUGACUGGAAUACCUUUGCACAAGAGUUACAACUCAUCAGUUGUUGAAGCAGACGGGUAUGAGAACAUGACUUGCGUGGAAAAAGAUUGUCAAAAUUACAUUGAACAAGUGAGGCGAUUAAGACUCGGUGAAGGAGAUGUUGCGACAAUACAAUCCUACCUUUCACAAAUGCAAGCACAGUGCUUAGGUUUUUACUUCUAUAUGGAUUUAGAUGAAGAGUCACGGAUUAGGAAUCUCUUCUGGGCAGAUAAGAAGUGUAGGCAAGCAUAUAAGGAGUUCGGGGAUGCAGUGACGUUUGAUACCACUUAGCUCACAAAUAAAUACGGCAUGCCUUUUGCCCCCUUCCUUGGAGUAAGUCAUCAUGGACAAUCAACACUCUUUGGAUGUGGUUUGUUGGCAAAUGAAGAUACAUAUACAUUUGUUUGGCUAUUCAGGACAUGGAUGUAGUGUAUGCAUGGUCAAGCACCAAAUGGAAUCAUUACCGAUCAAGACAAGACUAUGCAAAAUGCAAUUGCGAUAGUCUUUCCAAAGUCGAGGUAUAGAUGGUGUUUGUGGCAUAUAUUGAAAAAGUUGCCGGAGAAGUUUGGGUACCACGUUCAGAAGGGCUCCAUUUUUUUGUCUAUACAUAGCUUAGUGUAUGAUACACAAGUCGUUGAGGAAUUCUAAGAAGGUUGGAAAGCUAUGCUUGAUACAUAUAACUUACAUAAGAAUGAUUGGUUGUUGGGGUUGUUUGAGAACAAGGGUCGUUGGGUGCCAUGUUAUUUAAAAACAACAUUUUAGGCGGAGAUGUCAAUAACUCAGCGCAGUGAGAGUAUGAAUGUGUUCUUCGAUGGUUAUGUGCAUUCUAAGAUAUCGUUGAAAUAGUUCGUCGAACAAUAUAAGCGAGCAUUACGAAAUAAAUUUGAGAAGGAAUUCCAAACAAAUUUCAAGUCUUACUCAUAGAUGGUAUUCUGUGCAACAAAAUAUGAAAUGGAAAAGCAAUUCCAGGUUGUUUAUACCAUUUCAAAAUUUUGGGGAUUUCAAGAUGAGAUAACUGGGAAUGUCUACUGCGAUAUGAUAUCUGCAUUUGAUAUAUGUUCGGAGAAGUUGUAUGAGGUUGAGGAGGAUGUCAUUUACAAAGAAAAUGUUAGAAAGAAAAAGUUUUCAGUCACAUUUCGAGCAGAGGAUUGCAAUGUUAUUUGCAGUUGCCACUUAUUCAAGUUUCGUAGCAUUUUGUGUAGACAUGACAUAUCAGUGUUGAUGCGUCAUGGCGUCACAUCACUAUUGGAGAGGAACAUAUUGAAGAGAUGGAGACGAGAUAUUAGUAGAGCCCACACGAGGGUUGUUGUGAAUUACUCCGGUUUGGUUAGCACUCCUAGCCAGUUGAGGUAUGAUAAAAUGGGUGAAGUGUUCGCGAUGUUGGCAAACAGUGCUGCCAACGAUGAAGAGCGAACUCGUGCGAUAAUAGAUUGGAUUCAAUCGUAGUCCAAAGACAUGAUGUCUACGAAGACGAGUUGGGUAAGUAAUAGCAUUUCGCAAUCUAAUUUGCAUUUAGGUUCGCAGCCUAGUUUGCAUUUAGAUUCACAAUCUAGAGCAUCACAUGACACUGGCAGUGGUACAAUACAAAAUCCUAAAUGUUCAAAAAGAAAGGAUGCACCAAAGAAACUUCGUCAUAAAAGCUCAUUGGAGUCAAGCUCAAAGGAAAAAAAAUGUUAUUUUUCUUUCACACAUUUUUAUCAUGUGUCGUACAUAAAUUUGAACGAAGUGAAAAUGUCAAUUAUUCUCAUGUCAUGCAGGCAGCAUCGACUUCCAGCAAAGGAUAGAGAUCGAGAGCAGCAAAAAACAAUCUUCGACCCGACACACCAUUCGUUCAGUCCUCGCCACAUGUACAAUAUUCAAUGAUGACACAAUUCUCAAAUUCACAAGUCAUAGCUGUAAGUAUAUAUUAUUGGCAGAUGUAUUGGAG